UACGUAGGGUGCGAGCGUUGUCCGGAAUUAUUGGGCGUAAAGAGCUCGUAGGCGGUCUGUCGCGUCCGUUGUGAAAACUCGAGGCUCAACCUCGGGCUUGCAGUGGAUACGGGCAGACUAGAGUGCGGUAGGGGAGACUGGAAUUCCUGGUGUAGCGGUGGAAUGCGCAGAUAUCAGGGGGAACACCGAUGGCGAAGGCAGGUCUCUGGGCCGCAACUGACGCUGAGGAGCGAAAGCAUGGGGAGCGAACAGG
RNAcentral lists this ribosomal RNA (253 nucleotides) under uncultured bacterium. RNAcentral's name for it is "partial 16S ribosomal RNA". It matches the Rfam family "Bacterial small subunit ribosomal RNA", at positions 524 to 776 of the family's 1533-position model. The record is from RNAcentral.